AUAUUUAACAUAUUUUUUCAACUUUGAUAUUUUAAUGAAGUUAAAAUCCUUCUAGAAUGGAGAGAAAAAUCUGUUGACAUUUCUUUGUAUGCCAUAAAAGGUGUUGGUCGAUAUAGACAGCAGGACGGUGGCCAUGGAAGUCGGAAUCCGUUAAGGAGUGUGUAACAACUCACCUGCCGAAUCGACUAGUCCUAAAAAUGGAUGGCGCUCGAGCGAGCCUCUUAUACUUGACUGUUACGGUACAACAAGCCAUUAACGGACAUCAUGUCGUAACAAGUAGGACGGUUGAUAUGGUUGCGUCGAAGGCUAACACGUGAGUGUGGCUUGAGCAGUCAUAUGUACAGAUCUUAGUGGUAGUAGCAACUAUUCAAAUGAGAACUUUGAAGACUGACGUGGAGAAAGGUUCCAUGUGAACAGCUAUUGGACAUGGGUCAGUCAGUCCUAAGAUGCGCUCGAAAGAGGGUUCCGAACGAGGAAUAUCUAUAUUCAUAUCAUAUUUAUAUUCCAUCAAAUCGAAAGGGAAACAAGUUAAUAUUCUUGUACUGAGUGUCGGAGAUUGUUUGAUUUCGUGUCAAACAUAUGUGGUAACACAAACAAGCUCAAAUACAUCACAAGUGGUCCUAGGAAGAGUUUUCUCUUCUUUGUUACUUCAUUAGACGACCUGGAAUCAGUUCAACUGGAGAUAGGGUUCAAAUGAAGGUAAAGAGUAGCCGUUCUUGCUACUUCCUCGGUGCAUCAUUUGUGAUCCUUGAAAAUUUGAGCGAGAUAUUCAAUUUCGCACUUAUCUGUACUCUAAACCGCAUCAGGUCUCCAAGGUGAAAAGCCUCUAGUCAAUUAGAACAAGGUAGCACAAGGGAAGUCGGCAAAAUCGAUCGGCAACUUCGGGAUAACGAUUGGCUCUAAGUGCUAGGGUGUUCGGGCUUGAUGAUAAAGCAGUAGACUUGCUAUUGGAGCUGAGCUUUCGGAUGCAGCAAUGUGUCUGAUCGUUCGGACUAGUGGCUUGUCUUGCUGUGGAAUCGUUUUGCUACGGUAUGCGGUUCGCUUGCGGGCCGUAUUACUUCGGACAUCGUUUAAUAGCAAACUUAGAACUCGCUGCGUCUAGGGGAAUCCGACUGUCUAAUUAAAACAGAGCUUUGCGAUUGGCCGGAAAACUUGGUGUUGACGCAAAGUGAUUUCUGCCCAGUGCUCUGAAUGUUAACGUGAAGAAAUUCAAAUAAGCGCGGGUAAACGGCGGGAGUAACUAUGACUCUCUUCUGGUAGCCAAAUGCCUCGUCAUCUAAUUAGUGACGCGCAUGAAUGGAUUAACGAGAUUCCCACUGUCCCUGUCUACUAUCUAGCGAAACCGCAGCCAAGGGAACGGGCUUGGACUUCAAUGCGGGGAAAGAAGACCCUGUUGAGCUUGACUCUAAUCUGUCUUCGUAAAGAGACUUGAAAAGUGUAGCGUAGAUGGGAGUGGCAACACGUCAAUGAAACACCAUUAUUUUCAUUGUUUCUUUACUUACUUGGUUAUACAGAGAUUGGAUUUUACAUCCAGUGUUUGAGUGACAAACGUCGAUACUUGUAUCAACGCGAUCUGCUUCAAGGAAAGAGACAGGUGGGGAGUUUGGCUGGGGCGGUACAUCUAUCAAAUGUUAACGUAGGUGUCCAAAAGUUGACUCAGUGCGGACAGAAACCACACAUUGAGUAAAAGGGCAUAAGUCAGCUUGAUUUAGAUUUUCAGUACGAAUACAGACGGAGAAAUCCGGGCCUAUCGAUCCUUUUGAUUUAACGAGUUUUUUGCAAGAGGURACWCACUGCAUUACGGCUGAUGCACAUGGACUCAUGGAACCGGUGACAUCAAUCACAGCUAAUACAUAUGUCCAGUUGUUUCGAGUGAACACCUCUGUGAUUGUUCUCUCGUCAUUCGGUCUUUCACACAUCUCACCUGUGUAGGCGU
RNAcentral lists this ribosomal RNA (1936 nucleotides) under Adineta vaga. RNAcentral's name for it is "eukaryotic LSU rRNA". It matches the Rfam family "Eukaryotic large subunit ribosomal RNA", at positions 1105 to 2793 of the family's 3401-position model. The record is from RNAcentral. Lineage: Eukaryota; Metazoa; Rotifera; Eurotatoria; Adinetida; Adinetidae.